RNAcentral lists this ribosomal RNA (424 nucleotides) under Verrucomicrobiota bacterium. Its description in RNAcentral is "Verrucomicrobia bacterium partial 16S ribosomal RNA". It matches the Rfam family "Bacterial small subunit ribosomal RNA", at positions 355 to 776 of the family's 1533-position model. The record is from RNAcentral. Lineage: Bacteria; Pseudomonadati; Verrucomicrobiota.
UGAGGAAUAUUGGUCAAUGGGCGAGAGCCUGAACCAGCCAAGUAGCGUGCAGGAUGACGGCCCUAUGGGUUGUAAACUGCUUUUAUGUGGGGAUAAAGUGCGUGACGUGUCAUGCAUUGCAGGUACCAUAUGAAUAAGGACCGGCUAAUUCCGUGCCAGCAGCCGCGGUAAUACGGAAGGUUCGGGCGUUAUCCGGAUUUAUUGGGUUUAAAGGGAGCGUAGGCCGUUUGGUAAGCGUGUUGUGAAAUGUAGGAGCUCAACUUCUAGAUUGCAGCGCGAACUGUCAGACUUGAGUGCGCACAGAGUAGGCGGAAUUCAUGGUGUAGCGGUGAAAUGCUUAGAUAACAUGAAGAACUACGAUUGCGAAGGCAGCUUACGGGAGCGCAACUGACGCUGAAGCUCGAAGGUGCGGGUAUCGAACAGG